GACGAACGCUGGCGGCGUGCUUAACACAUGCAAGUCGAACGGAAAGGCGCUGCGUUUGUGGGGUGCUCGAGUGGCGAAUGGGUGAGUAACACGUGAGUAACCUGCCCCUGACGUUGGGAUAACUUCAGGCAACUGGGGCUAAUACUGGAUAGGAGCUUCUGCUUCAUGGCGGUGGUCGCUAAGUUACGGCUGUUGGGGAUGGUCUCGCGGCUUAUCAGUUUGUUGGCGGGGUAGUGGCUUACCAAGGCUUUGACGGGUAGCCGGCCUGAGAGGGUGACCGGCCACAUUGGGACUGGGAUACGGCCCAGAAUCCUACGGGAGGCAGCAGUGGGGAAUAUUGCAAAAUGGGCGGAAGCCUGAUGCAGCAACGCCGCGUGCGGGAUAACGGCCUUCGGGUUGUAAACCGCUUUCGCCGGUGACAAAGCGUAAGUGACGGUAAUGGGUAAAGAAGCACCGGCUAACUACGUG
RNAcentral lists this ribosomal RNA (468 nucleotides) under uncultured bacterium. RNAcentral's name for it is "partial 16S ribosomal RNA". It matches the Rfam family "Bacterial small subunit ribosomal RNA", at positions 28 to 507 of the family's 1533-position model. The record is from RNAcentral.